UAGUAUGCAGUUGCUGACUGAA
RNAcentral lists this non-coding RNA (22 nucleotides) under Rattus norvegicus (Norway rat). The record is from RNAcentral. Lineage: Eukaryota; Metazoa; Chordata; Mammalia; Rodentia; Muridae.